AGUGAACGCUGGCGGCAGGCCUAACACAUGCAAGUCGAACGGACGCACAGUAAGCGCUCGCCCCUACGGGUGGCGAGUGGCGGACGGGUAAGGCAUACAUAGCCAUCUUCUUUUUCGGGGGGGAUAACGUAGAGCAACUUAUACUACCACCGCAUAUGAUCUACGGGUGAAAGCAAGGGUUCUUCGCAGUCUUCGUGUCUGUAUGAGACGGUGCCGCAUUAGCUAGUUGGCGUGGUAAAGGCACACCAAGGCAACGAUACGUAGCUGGUCUGAGAGGAUGAUCGGCCACACUGGAACUGAGACACGGUCCAGACUCCUACGGGAGGCAGCAGUGGGGAAUAUUGGACAAUGGGCGCAAGCCUGAUGCAGCCAUGCCGCGUGAGUGAUGAAGGUCUUCGGGUUGUAAAGCCCUUUUGUUGGGAAAGAAAAGCAGCAUGUGAAUACCCCGCUGUUUUGACGGUACCCAAACAGUAAGCACCGGCUAACUUCGUG
Molecule: ribosomal RNA, 492 nt
Filed under: uncultured bacterium
Lineage: Bacteria
Description: partial 16S ribosomal RNA
Rfam family: Bacterial small subunit ribosomal RNA
Source: RNAcentral